This 403-nucleotide ribosomal RNA is filed under the name Gastropteron bicornutum. RNAcentral's name for it is "partial 16S ribosomal RNA". It matches the Rfam family "Archaeal large subunit ribosomal RNA", at positions 1908 to 2670 of the family's 2987-position model. Lineage: Eukaryota; Metazoa; Mollusca; Gastropoda; Cephalaspidea; Gastropteridae. The record is from RNAcentral.
AGCUUUAAGAACAGAUUUAAGGUGAGGCCUGCCCAGUGAUUCUUUUUAACGGCCGCGGUACUUUGACCGUGCUAAGGUAGCAUAAUCACUUGACUUUUAAAUGAAGUCUGGAAUGAAAGGAGAAACGGAGAAAAGCUGUCUUUUUUAUAUUAUUUUGAAUUUACUAAUCAGGUGAAAAGGCCUGAAUGUGAAAAAAGACGAGAAGACCCUUAGAGUUUUUUAAGGAUUUGGUUGGGGUGAUCUAAGAUAAAAACAUCUUUUUAUUAUAAGACGGUUUUCAUGUCAAGAUAAACUACCUAAGGGAUAACAGCAUAAUCUUUUAUGGUUUAUGACCUCGAUGUUGGACUAGGAUAUAGGUUAGCUAGCAGUUAACUUUCUUUUUUCUGUUCGAAAAAUUCUUCCU